This 342-nucleotide unclassified non-coding RNA is filed under the name soil metagenome. RNAcentral describes it as "partial contains 5.8S ribosomal RNA, internal transcribed spacer 2, and large subunit ribosomal RNA". The stretch from base 1 to 120 matches the Rfam family "5.8S ribosomal RNA", at positions 35 to 154 of the family's 154-position model. The record is from RNAcentral.
GAUGAAGAACGUAGUGAAACGCGAUAUGUAAUGUGAAUUGCAGAAUUCAGUGAAUCAUCGAAUCUUUGAACGCACAUUGCGCCCGCCAGCACUCUGGCGGGCAUGCCUGUUCGAGCGUCAUUUCAACCAUCAAGCCCCCAGGGGCUUGUGCUGGGGCCCUGCGGCUGCCCGCAGGCCCUGAAAACCAGUGGCGGGCUCGCUAGUCACACCGAGCGCAGUAGCACAUCUCGCUCAGGGCGUGCGGCGGGCUCCUGCCGUGAAACCCCCCACUGUAACCCCAAAGGUUGACCUCGGAUCAGGUAGGAAUACCCGCUGAACUUAAGCAUAUCAAUAAGCGGAGGA